ACAUCCAGAGAAUUUAGCAGAGAUGCUUUAGUGCCUUCGGGAACUCUGAGACAGGUGCUGCAUGGCUGUCGUCAGCUCGUGUUGUGAAAUGUUGGGUUAAGUCCCGNAACGAGUGCAACCCUUAUCCUUUGUUGCCAGCACGUAAUGGUGGGAACUCAAAGGAGACUGCCGGUGAUAAACCGGAGGAAGGUGGGGAUGACGUCAAGUCAUCAUGGCCCUUACGAGUAGGGCUACACACGUGCUACAAUGGCGCAUACAAAGAGAAGCGACCUCGCGAGAGCAAGCGGACCUCAUAAAGUGCGUCGUAGUCCGGAUUGGAGUCUGCAACUCGACUCCAUGAAGUCGGAAUCGCUAGUAAUCGUAAAUCAGAAUGUUACGGUGAAUACGUUCCCGGGCCUUGUACACACCGCCCGUCACACCAUGGGAGUGGGUUGCAAAAGAAGUAGAUAGCUUAACCUUCGGGAGGGCGUUUACCACUUUGUGAUUCAUGACUGGGGUGAAGUCGUAACAAGGUAAGCGUAGUGCU
Molecule: ribosomal RNA, 526 nt
Filed under: uncultured bacterium
Lineage: Bacteria
Description: bacterial SSU rRNA
Rfam family: Bacterial small subunit ribosomal RNA
Source: RNAcentral